The sequence is a non-coding RNA, 353 nucleotides long. It matches the Rfam family "Alphaproteobacteria transfer-messenger RNA". From Rfam's summary of the family: Bacterial tmRNA, also known as 10Sa RNA or SsrA, is named for its dual tRNA and mRNA-like properties. The record is from Rfam.
AGGCUUGAAAAACCAUCCGUUUGGGGCCAUAUGGAUGGUGCCGGGUUCGCCCGGCUAUGGUGAUAAAUUGUGUCGUAUAAUAGACGCAGCGGACCCGGGGGCAGUACCCGGCGGUUCCACCAGAAGGCCCGAUCGCUUACAGCUUUUGGGUUUCCUGACGGGGCCGAACUAGGAUCGACGUGUGUUCAAAGGCGAUAUUUUCACCCGGCCCGUGUAAGCCGUUAAACUGUGCAAAACUCACAAGUGCCAACGAUAACGAAGCACUCGCCAUUGCAGCGUAAUUGAGGGCCUCACGGCCUGAUAUUAUCCUAAAAUAGCGCGGUUGAACCCACCGGGCAACAGAAGGGAAUUCA